Molecule: ribosomal RNA, 486 nt
Filed under: uncultured bacterium
Lineage: Bacteria
Description: partial 16S ribosomal RNA
Rfam family: Bacterial small subunit ribosomal RNA
Source: RNAcentral
AUUGAACGCUGGCGGCAUGCCUUACACAUGCAAGUCGAACGGCAGCACGGGUUCUUGCACCUGGUGGCGAGUGGCGAACGGGUGAGUAAUACAUCGGAACAUGUCCUGUAGUGGGGGAUAGCCCGGCGAAAGCCGGAUUAAUACCGCAUACGAUCUACGGAUGAAAGCGUGGGACCUUCGGGCCUCGCGCUAUAGGGUUGGCCGAUGGCUGAUUAGCUAGUUGGUGGGGUAAAGGCCUACCAAGGCGACGAUCAGUAGCUGGUCUGAGAGGACGACCAGCCACACUGGGAGAGAGACACGGCACAGACUCCUACGGGAGGCAGCAGUGGGGAAUUUUGGACAAUGGGGGAAAGCCUGAUACAGCAAUGCCGCGUGUGUGAAGAAGGCCUUCGGGUUGUAAAGCACUUUUGUCCGGAAAGAAAUCCUUGGCCCUAAUACGGUCGGGGGAUGACGGUACCGGAAGAAUAAGCACCGGCUAACUACGUG